GAGUUUGAACCUGGCUCAGGACGAACGCUGGCGGCGUGCCUAAUACAUGCAAGUCGAGCGAGCUUGCCUAGAUGAUUUUAGUGCUUGCACUAAAUGAAACUAGAUACAAGCGAGCGGCGGACGGGUGAGUAACACGUGGGUAACCUGCCCAAGAGACUGGGAUAACACCUGGAAACAGAUGCUAAUACCGGAUAACAACACUAGACGCAUGUCUAGAGUUUGAAAGAUGGUUCUGCUAUCACUCUUGGAUGGACCUGCGGUGCAUUAGCUAGUUGGUAAGGUAACGGCUUACCAAGGCAAUGAUGCAUAGCCGAGUUGAGAGACUGAUCGGCCACAUUGGGACUGAGACACGGCCCAAACUCCUACGGGAGGCAGCAGUAGGGAAUCUUCCACAAUGGACGAAAGUCUGAUGGAGCAACGCCGCGUGAGUGAAGAAGGGUUUCGGCUCGUAAAGCUCUGUUGGUAGUGAAGAAAGAUAGAGGUAGUAACUGGCCUUUAUUUGACG
Molecule: ribosomal RNA, 505 nt
Filed under: uncultured bacterium
Lineage: Bacteria
Description: bacterial SSU rRNA
Rfam family: Bacterial small subunit ribosomal RNA
Source: RNAcentral